RNAcentral lists this unclassified non-coding RNA (22 nucleotides) under Mus musculus (house mouse). RNAcentral describes it as "oocyte_clustered_small_RNA9861". Lineage: Eukaryota; Metazoa; Chordata; Mammalia; Rodentia; Muridae. The record is from RNAcentral.
CGACCCUGGGGACAGAGCGGAA